GCCGGGCACGGUGGCACACGCCUGUAGUCCCAGCUACUCGGGAGGCUGAGGUGGGAGGAUCGCUUGAGUCCAGGAGUUCUGGGCUGCAGUGCGCUAUGCUGAUCGGGUGUCCGCACUAAGUUCGGCAUCAAUAUGGUGACCUCCCGUGAGCGGGGGACCACCAGGUUGCCUAAGGAGGGGUGAACCAGCCCAGGUCGGAAACGGAGCAGGUCAAAAUCCACCCCCAAGUAAUCCUGCUCACUCUAUGAAAAUUUUGGUCUUAGAUUCUGUCUCUCCUACACUGCCACUGUCAAAUGCU
This 298-nucleotide signal recognition particle RNA is filed under the name Octodon degus (degu). Its description in RNAcentral is "Metazoan signal recognition particle RNA (ENSODEG00000025869.1)". It matches the Rfam family "Metazoan signal recognition particle RNA". From Rfam's summary of the family: The signal recognition particle (SRP) is a universally conserved ribonucleoprotein. It is involved in the co-translational targeting of proteins to membranes. The eukaryotic SRP consists of a 300-nucleotide 7S RNA and six proteins: SRPs 72, 68, 54, 19, 14, and 9. The record is from RNAcentral. Lineage: Eukaryota; Metazoa; Chordata; Mammalia; Rodentia; Octodontidae.